CUUCAGCUAUGGGAGAAGUGGGAGGUCCCUCUCAACUUGACUGAGAUCCACAGUUGAAGGAAUUGGGCGAGGCAGCCUUGAUGUCAGGGGCAGGUGCACAAUAGAGCAGCUGUCUCAGAGGAAUGUGGGAAACCAAGGGGGUGGGGUGCACCCUAAACUCAGUGCAUGGCGGCUACACCCCAUGUUCCCUGCAGGCUGCGCUAAGCAAGGCCUCUGAGAGGAGUAGCUGACCCUGCCUGAACCAAGUCAGACGGGACCCUGUACCAGGGAGAAUCUGCAGGGGUGGCAGGUAGUGACAUCCCAGGCAGAUCCCUCUGUCCAUUGGAGAAGAGCCUCUGAGCUCGCUUUCUCAGUCCUAUGGAUCAGAGCAUUUAGCUGGGACAGCCUCCUCUCGCCCUGACCCUGCCAUGAGCCUCAACUUCUUUUGUGUGACUCUUUGUUUCCUGGGAGCAGGCCCCAUGGAUGCUGCAAUCACCCAGAAGCCGAGAUACCAUAUUAUACAAAGAAGACAGGAGAUGAUCCUGGAAUGUUCUCAGAAUAUGAACCGUUUGUCAAUGUUCUGGUAUCGACAAGACCCAAGGCAGGGGCCAAGGCUGAUCCAUUAUUCAAGUGGUGUCGGAAGGACUGCGAAAGGGGAUAUCUCAGAAGGGUACAGCGUCUCCCGAAACAAGACGGAGGAUUUCUCCUUGACCCUGGAGUCGGCCAGCAUCAACCAGACUUCCCUGUACCUCUGUGCCAGCAGUGAAUCCACAGCGCUGCACAGCCAGCUGCCCUCUGCACAAAAAUGGCAGCCACACUCCUUCCUGAGGCCCCUGUCUCACCAGGGGAAAAACUGCCUCUAUGAAGUUCUCAGCAUACUUCCCAGCAAGCGGAUCUCUGUCUGA
Molecule: non-coding RNA, 884 nt
Organism: Ceratotherium simum simum (southern white rhinoceros)
Lineage: Eukaryota; Metazoa; Chordata; Mammalia; Perissodactyla; Rhinocerotidae
Source: the annotation of a RefSeq genome assembly